Molecule: RNA transcript, 2750 nt
Organism: Formica exsecta
Lineage: Eukaryota; Metazoa; Arthropoda; Insecta; Hymenoptera; Formicidae
Gene name: steroid receptor RNA activator 1-like
Exons: 3
Source: RefSeq, a predicted model, not a curated record
UAAUAGCGAAGAAUCUGUCUAAGAAUAUAUUAUUUAAUCAUAUAUAUUAUGGAUCUUUGAAACUGAUCUGCAUUUGAUUCUUCGUUUAAAUUAAUUGACUUUGCAUUUACCAGUUGUCAAAUCUAACCUAAAAAUGGAGCAAAAUUCUCCCUCAUUCUCGUCAAAUGAUACAGUGUCCAGCCAACAAUCACUGCCAUCUUCUCACGAUCCCGGUUGGAACGAUCCACCAAAAUGGGCACUGUCUUCACAGCAUAAUUCAUCUGGAACCAAGAGACUCUUAAACAAGCGAGUGGCAUUUCCAUUAUCUUCGCAGAUCUCCGCUGCAGGAAAAGUUGAUUCAUCUCCUCCAUCGAAUACUCCUCCCAUUUUACAAUCUUCCAUGACUCCUACAAUAACUACAGCUCCCCAUAAGCCUCUUGUGGCACCUAUCGCUAAAGAAUUUACAACAAAGGAAUCAGAUUUUGACAAAGAUCAAGCUUUGACAGAAGUUUUGGCCAAUCUAAAAUCAGUAAUGACAGAGCAGAAGAUAGAAACGAACAAGACAGAAGAGAUACAAAGAAGAUUAGAUAUCAUGAAAGCUGACUGGCGCGAAAAUAAAUUAAACAAUACGAUACACAGAAGUGUUUUAGAUAUAUCGAAAGCAUUGUUGAGGAAAGAUACUGAAGAAGCUGACAAGAUCCAUAUUGCUCUUAUGACACAGCAUGCGACUGCUUGUCGUACCUGGAUGCCAGCUAUUAGACACAUAAUUUUCGAAUUAAAAAAAGAAUGAAUGUUUCGCAGCCAGAACAGUCAUCUCUAUUAUUUGUUGAAUCAAAGAAAAAAUUUCAGAUUUUUUCCUCCUUAUACAGGGAUCUAUGCAACGACUCGUCCGCCCGAAAAAUCGCGCAAUCGCCCCUUGUGUCAAUUCAUUAAAUAUAAUUUUUAUAAAAAUUUUAUCUAAGAAAUAUAUUCACACACAAAUUGCGCAAUUGCUUAAUUUGAUAAAUUUGUGCCUGUAUAUAACAAAGAAAUAAAAUAACUAUGGGAUGAACUAUCGUUGCAUAUCAAUCUAUAUUUCGGACACACGCGAUGGUUUGUUAUUUUUAUUCUUGUAUAUCAAUUGUGUUAUUUUACAAACGCUCUUGGCAUCGUGUAUUUCGAGUUUUCCCUUUUAUAAAAAACUUUUUAGCAAGAACAACGAUCUUCAAUAUAUUUAUAGACAGUUGGAAGUAGUAGUUAUAUAAUGGCAUUUAAGGUGCGUUAUAAGGCUAAGUUUAUUCCGGAAGAUGAUAUGGAAUUUUGAUUUCCUUCGCACGUGGAAUAUAACAGGUGUCGCAAAAGCUCAUGCUUCUUCUUCGUCAUAUUUUCAAAAUGUUAACCGAUUUAUAAAUUACACUACAAAGUCAAAUUUAAUCAUAAUUCAUUCUUCGUUACGAGAGGGGAGAGAAGAUUAAAAAAUAUAUAUUUCUGAGUUAUAAUCAAUACCACAUAAAAGAUUAUUACAAUAGACGAGAAUUUGUGACACCCAUUAGAUCCGAGAAUUAUGGAAAAAACGCGCGCUCCAAGACUUAAUCAAAACUCGAUACAAAGAUAUCGCGUUUGUCAUUGUAUUGUCAUUUUUGCGGAACGAUACGAAGAGGAGGAUAAUCUUGUUGUAUAUGUUAAAAAAGCCAUCUCGGGCCCCGAUGAUAUUCUACAUUGUACUCUCAUUGCCAUCCGAAAAAGCUGCCUUAUCUAGAAAAUGUAUCAGUGAUCUCGCAUGCGUACCGGAUGUACGCGCGUGUAUGCGUGUGAAGCGAAAGAAACGAGUGUUGCGUUUGAAAUAGUCCCAUUUGCCGUACUCGUACGCAUUUCUAUCACGUGAAGAAAUAGUACCGAACUUAUAGCUUUUAUAGAACGGAGAUACUUUUUUGGAAUAGAUUGGAGAAUUAGUAUAUGUGUAUGUGAAUUUUCGAUAUGAAAUGUAUCGCGACAUUUCCAUGCGCGUUUUCCGGGACCGAUUUAAAAAAAUUCUUUUUAUAAAUCUUUAAAAUAUAAAUAUAUACUCAGCAUACACAUCCUAAAAUUCUUCUAAUUCUUUUUAGAAAGCUUGAAUAAAUUUUACCACGAAUCCUGCUUAGAAUAUUCAAGAGCUGGAAUUUAUACGAUAAAUAUAUAAAAUAGGAGAAAAAGAAUGUUCGAGUAAUACUUUCCGAUUGAAAUUCGUUAGUGUAUGUCUAAAGCUGUUCAUUUAGGAGCAAAAAGUCAAUGUAGCACAUUGAAAUAUUUUCACAUUAAGGAAAUAUCGAUCAACCGGUGCGCACAGGAAAGUCAGAUAAUCUCAAUCGAAACUCGAGCCGCCAGCUUGCUGAAAAAAUAGAAUAACGAUACAACACCACGUUAUCAAACUUAAUUAAUAAAUAAUACAUUAAAUUAGAUUAUAUUACUAGUUAUUACUGUGUUGCCGAUAUUAUUAUUAUUACUAUUACUAUUACUAUUACAUGCGAUAACUAAUGAAUGAUAAUAUAUUAAUGAUUCCUAUAAUACUCCAGUAGGCGAGGGUUUGUCGCGUCUCGCUUCUUUCUUUUUUUCAUUCCACCGAUUUGCGGACACAAAUGCAAAAAGGAAAGAUAGGACUCGACUGGUACGCGAGCCAAAAUCAAAAACCCGUCAUAAUUCACUCCCCAUUAUCAGCUAAAAUACAAAUUUUUGCGCUGUAAAGUGCUACGCUUAUUUGAAAAAGUCGAAGAUAGUCGUUGAAAUAUAACGUCAUAGCGAAAAUAAAUAAAUAA